RNA transcript from Musa acuminata AAA Group (dessert banana), 1877 nucleotides. It is a transcript of the gene named chromo domain-containing protein LHP1-like, with no coding region annotated. The transcript is spliced from 5 exons. The record is from RefSeq and is a predicted model, not a curated record. NCBI's taxonomy places the organism in Eukaryota, Viridiplantae, Streptophyta, Magnoliopsida, Zingiberales, Musaceae.
UGCAUUUAGUCUCCAUCCGACAUCAAACGGCACUCACGACACCCGACAGCGAAACGACGCCUCCGCAAACGCGCAGAAGGAGAGAGAGAGAGAGAGAGAGAGAGAGAGAGAGAGAGAGGAGGUCAAGAAAGGAAAUCAUCCGCAACCCUAUGAAGAGCGGGAAGAAGAAGCCCGAAACUACGGUGGAGGAAGGCGACGGAGUUGAGGAGCGCAGAGGCGACGCCGGAGGAGAAGAGGAGAAAGGAGGACGAGAAGAAGAAGGGGAGAGGUUGGGGAAGGAGGAGGAACGAGGUGAGGUUCCGAGACUGGAGGAAGGUUUCUACGAGAUCGAAGGCAUCAGGAAGAAGCGAGUGCGCAAGGGUCAAAUCCAAUACCUUAUCAAAUGGCGAGGAUGGCCGGAGACUGCCAACACCUGGGAGCCCUUCGAGAACAUUCAAUCCUGUGCCGAUGUCAUCGAAGCAUUCGAAGAGAGGUCAGCCUUUCCCCGUCGCCGCUUUAAAAAAAUAGCUCUUUGUGGAGGACUUCUCCUUCUUGUUGUACAUCUUUUACUUUCUUUUUUUGGCGAACAUGAGAUCUUCCGAUGGGCGGGCAGGUCGAGGUCGCCGAGGUCGCGGAAACGCAAGCGGAGGCCCGGCGGUCCGUAUGGCAUGGCGGCCCACAAGAAGCGCUCCAUCGAGACCGAGGAAUCAAAAACGGCACCGAAUCAGAACUUACCGACUCAGAAUGGUGCCAGUGGCACGGCGGUGGCGUGUGCAGAUGCUGAUAAAACCCAUGAGCAAGUUGGAAAGAGAGUGGUUGUGGACGAGGAGGUAGGAGACUUGAAAAAGAAGACAAGGACAGAGAAAGUCAAGGCGAUCACUUCUAGAAGUAGACGGGGUGAUGGACAGAACCCGGAGCUUCUUAAUUCAGCAGAUCAGAUAGAGACCAAUGGGCACGAUUCUGUGAAACCUUCUGGGGGGCAGGAGGACGGUUCCAUGGAUGGGUUCUCAAAGGUUGAAAGUACUCAGGCUUCUCAGGGCAAUGUAGCAACCGGUGCAAAGAGGAGGAAAUCUGGGUGUGUGAAGAGGUUCCAGCAAGGUUCUGCAACAGGUCAUUGGGACGAGCAAAAGAACGCAUCUGUGAGGAGGGAAACUGGAUCUGGUGGCAAAGGUGAGAAAUCAGGGAAUAAAAACGUUGUUUCUGAAUUAGACAACAAGAAUAAGUUGGAUGAUACUGGAAAGCCACCUUCAAUCACAAAGCUCCUAGUGCCAGUUCGCUUCUUUGCUUCCGUGACAAACAAUGUGCAGCAAGUGUCUAUAACGUUCAAGGCUCUAAGUGAACCUUUUGUAAUUUUGCAGUUUGCAAUGUGAUAAUUAUAUCAGCAUCAAUAGCAUUGGUGUCUAAUCGUUUAUAGAAGGAGGAUUAAAUUUCUCAUGUCUUGGGAUCAGUUCCUUUUAGGACUUUGAUCUGAUGGAAAAGAAGUAUUCGUGGAUGACAAAGAACUAAAAGCUACCAACCCAUUAUUGCUAAUCAGUUUCUAUGAGCAACAUCUUCGCUAUAGUCCAAAUCAAUGAUCCCUUCAUAAAAGGGUUGAAUAUUCAUUCAUCAAGCUUGCUGGAGCUGAAGAACAUGAUGCAUAGGUUCCCGAUGCCUCAACCUUGUACUCGGCACAGUUUUGUAUGUAGAACAUUACUCCGACUUGAACUAGUUUUCUUGGCUUCUCAGACCAAAGCCUUCUCCCAUGCUCUAAGCUUGUGUUCUUUUGCAACAUCGGCAACCAACCAGCUGUUGUGUUUCAGAAUCAGAUAUUGUCUGUAUCCCUUACAUGCUAUAUGGUUGUGUACAUAACUCUAUGAUCCAAUUUUGAGACACUGAUAGAUCCAACCAAAGGUUCUGCA